GCCCGUGCCAACUAACACCAGCGCGAGUGAGAAAUUCAGAAGAUGAAGACCAAAAACCAUCAGCUGCCAAACCAGGUUUAUUUUGUUUUCCCAAAUCUGUCUGUGAGCCUCUGAUUCAUUCAACUUCUGAUUCCUUGGAAAUCGCCUCUGGAGACAACACUGAAGAUUUCUACACAUGUGAUCCAUCUUCUUCUUGGCUGCACAGUCCUCCGCGCUGGAAUUGGGGCACAACAGAAGGACCGUCCCCGGUGCAUUUAUCCCUGUUUAUACCAAGUGCAAGGAAGAGCUACCUUCAAACUACCAUGGCCCAGUAG
This 314-nucleotide long non-coding RNA is filed under the name Calidris pugnax (ruff). RNAcentral's name for it is "lncRNA (ENSCPUG00000017142.1)". Lineage: Eukaryota; Metazoa; Chordata; Aves; Charadriiformes; Scolopacidae. The record is from RNAcentral.